This 640-nucleotide long non-coding RNA is filed under the name Panax ginseng (ginseng). Its description in RNAcentral is "long non-coding RNA (PGIN_LNC018620)". The record is from RNAcentral. Lineage: Eukaryota; Viridiplantae; Streptophyta; Magnoliopsida; Apiales; Araliaceae.
UAAUUUUCAGCAUAGUGUUAUACUGUCUUUUGUUUCGAGUAGUCAUAUAUUUAUGUUCUUGGCUCGUACAUCAAAGAAUACAUGACCAAUGUACUGCAGAAUUUAAAAACCUUGUACUAAAACUUUGAUUUUAUAAAGGGGUCUAUUGUUUUAUGUGCCGUGCGAGUUUUAUAUUGCUUUACUUUACCUUUCAUUUUCGUCACUGUUUCCAAUUUCCAAACAAACAAAGCAUAAGAUAACUAGCUCAUCUAUUGGAAGGACACUAUACUGGCUGAGAUAAUGGAUCUGACACCUUUUUGACUGUUUCAAAUUCUUAAUUAUAAAUUAAAUUCUUCAGUUAGUAAUGCAAUGGCCUUCUUCUGUCGAGUGUUGAAGAUAGCAUUAUGCGUCUUUUUUUUGUACUAUGGUUACGAGUAUUCUAUUUUGAUUCAUCAGUCUCACAUGGUGCUUGUGUACUGCAGAAUUUAAAAACCUUGUACUAAAACUUUGAUUUUAUAAAGGGGUCUAUUGUUUUAUGUGCCGUGCGAGUUUUAUAUUGCUUUACUUUACCUUUCAUUUUCGUCACUGUUUCCAAUUUCCAAACAAACAAAGCAUAAGAUAACUAACUCAUCUAUUGGAAGGACACUAUACUGGCUGAGAU